Molecule: ribosomal RNA, 253 nt
Filed under: uncultured bacterium
Lineage: Bacteria
Description: partial 16S ribosomal RNA
Rfam family: Bacterial small subunit ribosomal RNA
Source: RNAcentral
GACAGAGGUGCCAAGCGUUAGGCGGAAUCACUGGGCUUAAAGCGUGUGUAGGCGGACUUGUAAGUACCUUGUGAAAUCCCACGGCUCACCCGUGGAACUGCUGGGUAUACUGCGAGUCUUGAGCCACUUAGGGGCUGUCGGAACAGGCGGUGGAGCGGUGAAAUGCGUAGAUAUCGCCUGGAACGCCAAAGGUGAAAACAGACAGCUGGGAGUGUGCUGACGCUGAGACACGAAAGCCAGGGGAGCGAACAGG